AUUUCCGUGUGAAUGCCCACCUGAUCGCUGCACAUGUACCCUAUGUCAGUUGGUGUGUUCAUGGGUGGGGUUAUCACACCAGUUCGAUAUACCCCAGCAUCAACGAGAACAACAACAUCAUCAUCAUCAUCAACAACAACUACACCAACAGAAGAACGGGUCAAGCUCCAUUGAAGAAAGAAACAGAAGCUUCUCAUUAACGGACAUUAUUCAUCAGUUUGGUGUCGGACUUUCACCUCAACUUUCACCUGACCCUUGUUAUAGACUGUCUAUCAAGCCAUGGUUACCCACAGCCCUACAGCCUGAUUAGAACAAACAUACAAUAAUAAAGACUUCUCUCCUUCUCACUUCCCAUCACCAGCACCAUCAAGGUGUUACUUUUUUGUCAUUUUUCUUUGUCCUAUGGUCUUGAUUUCCACCCGUGGCGUUCACUACUCAUAUGAUUGUCACGUAAUUUUUGUUUUGUAGAUAGGUUAUGCAUCGAUCUGUCUACCUAUAUUUAAUCUUUUAAUCAGACUACUUCACUACACCACAUUUCAUCACUACUACCAACAGCACACCGUUGCUACUAUUGUACUAUACACUAGCCACUAUACUAACUGAUCGCAAAUUGGUGGCAGCAGACAUUUUGUUUUGGAAGUUUUAAAAGUUUUCAGUUGGGAUUAACUGAAGGAGUGGCAACAACACCACCAGUAGUAUUAUUGGGAAGAAUAGAAGCAAAAUCUCCUUUAAAAAAUACAUUAUCUCGCUUCCCUACUUUUAUAAUCACAAUUUCUUGUACAAGAGCUAUCAACCCCGCUACACCGCUUCCUUCCACGUCACCCAUCUAAGAAAACUUCAUACAGCUCCCAGUUACCCUCUUCUCUUUCCUUCACUGCGUCAUCAUCAACAUCAUCAUCAUCAUUAUAAUAGCCGUCAUUUCAGGUGGUUUAACCCCAAAUCCAGAACAACAUAUUUUACACGCCCCCACCCCCCAACAGUCUCGGACCUCUCCUACCUUAACUCCACCUCUCUUGGCCCCACGUGCUGCAUUGUUUAGCGAGGUCACACUAAAAACUUUUGUUCACCGUUGUGGGAGCUAGUGGUGCCCGGAAAGGGGUACUGUGGCUAGCUGCGUGAUUGGGUGAGUGGAGUAAGCGGGUGGAUGGGUGUGCUGGGAGACAGAUACACCCUUUCCACCCACAUACAAAUAAAUUGAAACAAAAAUAAACAAAACUAUAAUAAACAAUAA
RNAcentral lists this long non-coding RNA (1231 nucleotides) under Octopus sinensis (East Asian common octopus). RNAcentral's name for it is "uncharacterized LOC118761995, transcript variant X1". The record is from RNAcentral. Lineage: Eukaryota; Metazoa; Mollusca; Cephalopoda; Octopoda; Octopodidae.